Molecule: ribosomal RNA, 528 nt
Filed under: uncultured bacterium
Lineage: Bacteria
Description: bacterial SSU rRNA
Rfam family: Bacterial small subunit ribosomal RNA
Source: RNAcentral
AUUGAACGCUGGCGGCAGGCUUAACACAUGCAAGUCGAACGGUAGCAGGAGAAAGCUUGCUUUCUUGCUGACGAGUGGCGGACGGGUGAGUAAUGCUUGGGAAUCUGGCUUAUGGAGGGGGAUAACGACGGGAAACUGUCGCUAAUACCGCGUAAUAUCGAAAGAUUAAAGUGUGGGACCUUCGGGCCACAUGCCAUAGGAUGAGCCCAAGUGGGAUUAGGUAGUUGGUGGGGUAAAGGCCUACCAAGCCUGCGAUCUCUAGCUGGUCUGAGAGGAUGACCAGCCACACUGGAACUGAGACACGGUCCAGACUCCUACGGGAGGCAGCAGUGGGGAAUAUUGCGCAAUGGGGGGAACCCUGACGCAGCCAUGCCGCGUGAAUGAAGAAGGCCUUAGGGUUGUAAAGUUCUUUCGGUAUUGAGGAAGGUUGAUGUGUUAAUAGCACAUCAAAUUAACGUUAAAUACAGAAGAAGCACCGGCUAACUCCGUGCCAGCAGCCGCGGUAAUACGGAGGGUGCGAGCGUUAAU